Sodiomyces alkalinus F11 is the source of this 73-nucleotide non-coding RNA. Lineage: Eukaryota; Fungi; Ascomycota; Sordariomycetes; Glomerellales; Plectosphaerellaceae. The record is from the annotation of a RefSeq genome assembly.
GGCCGCGUGGCUCAAUGGUAGGGCGUCAGAUUUCGGCUCUGAAGAUUGUGGGUUUCGAGUCCUACCGCGGUCG